UGGGGAAUAUUGCGCAAUGGGCGAAAGCCUGACGCAGCCACGCCGCGUGAGCGAUGAAGGCCUUCGGGUCGUAAAGCUCUGUGGGGAGAGACGAAGAAAGCCUGUGAAGAGCAGGCCUUGACGGUAUCUCCUUAGCAAGCACCGGCUAACUCCGUGCCAGCAGCCGCGGUAAUACGGAGGGUGCAAACGUUGCUCGGAAUCAUUGGGCGUAAAGCGCACGUAGGCGGCGAAGCAAGUUGGGUGUGAAAGCCCUGGGCUCAACCCAGGAAGUGCAUUCAAAACUGCUUCGCUUGAAUCUCGGAGGGGGUCAGAGAAUUCCCGGUGUAGAGGUGAAAUUCGUAGAUAUCGGGAGGAAUACCAGUGGCGAAGGCGCUGACCUGGACGAGAUUGACGCUGAGGUGCGAAAGCGCGGGGAGCAAACAGGAUUAGAUACCCUGGUAGUCCGCGCUGUAAACGGUGAGGUGCGUAGACGGUGGAGGUA
This 481-nucleotide ribosomal RNA is filed under the name uncultured Pseudomonadota bacterium. RNAcentral's name for it is "bacterial SSU rRNA". It matches the Rfam family "Bacterial small subunit ribosomal RNA", at positions 355 to 831 of the family's 1533-position model. The record is from RNAcentral. Lineage: Bacteria; Pseudomonadati; Pseudomonadota.